This 538-nucleotide long non-coding RNA is filed under the name Rosa chinensis. RNAcentral's name for it is "sRNA RchiOBHm_Chr6g0255301". The record is from RNAcentral. Lineage: Eukaryota; Viridiplantae; Streptophyta; Magnoliopsida; Rosales; Rosaceae.
GACCUCCAUUCUCUCUCAUCUCUCUCUUCAUCAGAUCUAAAUCAUCUAAUGCAUUCCAGGUUCUCGCGCACCUCCCUUGCUGUAACUUUCAGCACCGUCGAUGUUAUCUAUGGAGUAUGAAUCUCUCUCAACCUCUCUAAAGAUACACAAUUUGGUAAGCUCCGGAAGUUCGAUAACCGGAGCGAUGACUCUGAUCUGAUAUGAGAGAGAAGCAUAUAGGGAGUGCAUCAAUGAACGUCGUCGCUCCACCGAGUUGCAGCCGACGAGCUGAGAAACCUCUCGGUGGUGAAGCUGUGUGAUGGCUUAGGUAGCGCAACGAAGAAGGUUCUGGACAAGGUCGAAGUGGAAGAGAAGAAGAAACGUUUCUUAGAAGCUUUGACAAAACGCCCAAACCCGCCUAGACUCACUGCCCAGAUAUUCCGCCCAGACGCCUAGGCGUUAGGCGCCCGCCCAAAAUCAAGCCGCCUAACACUACCGAUUAGCCAUUAAUCGAGUCAGAGACUCACCGCCCAGCGCCUAGGCACCGCCUAGGCGGCCG